UGCGUAGGUGGCAGAUCAAGUCUGGAGUAAAAGGUAUGGGCUCAACCCGUACUGGCUCUGGAAACUGAUCAGCUAGAGAACAGAAGAGGACGGCGGAACUCCAUGUGUAGCGGUAAAAUGCGUAGAUAUAUGGAAGAACACCGGUGGCGAAGGCGGCCGUCUGGUCUGGAUUCUGACACUGAAGCACGAAAGCGUGGGAGCGAACA
Molecule: ribosomal RNA, 206 nt
Filed under: uncultured bacterium
Lineage: Bacteria
Description: partial 16S ribosomal RNA
Rfam family: Bacterial small subunit ribosomal RNA
Source: RNAcentral